Long non-coding RNA from Apis dorsata (giant honeybee), 716 nucleotides. RefSeq lists it as uncharacterized. The transcript has 3 exons. Lineage: Eukaryota; Metazoa; Arthropoda; Insecta; Hymenoptera; Apidae. The record is from RefSeq and is a predicted model, not a curated record.
UACUUUGCAUAUUUUGUGUACUUUUUACAUUAUUAUACAUUCAAUUGUUUUCAAAAAAAUGAAAAAAGCAUGCUAUUCAUAAUGAUAAUAAUAAUAAAUCAAAAUGUCAAUAUCAGGUCUAUUGGCAUUGCAAAUGCGUCUUUUUCGCGUAGGCGCAAAACAAACAUAAUAUCUCCCUACUACCCAUGUGAGACUUCUUUUUCCGGUGGAUCCUUUGACAAAAGCACAUGCUACAUCGUAUAACGUCAUGUUAAUUGAGACUUUGUAUUUCAUUUGCGUCGCAUUACAAUCUUUAUUUUCAUUCUCUAUAUUGCACGCUAUAAAGAUUUUACCUAUCAGAAGCCACGUUUCUUCCUUGAAGCUGGAUUAAAUGCUAGUCUUGCCAACUUGCCGUAAAUACUCUGUCCAGUGAAUACGAAACGAAUUGCUUAGGAGGAUGACUCGAGACAUGGCGACGUGACUCAACCGACUCCUUUACAGAGGAAUCUUCCACGGAGAAAGAGAUACGCAUGAUUUCUGAUGACCAUGGAAGAUUGUAAGACACCAUACAGGUGCUCGAUUUUUGCGAUAAUUGAUGAUGAUAGAGAUGUAUUGGAAAUGUCGAAAAUGUCCAUUGUGUUGUAAAAUUGGAAAUAAAUAUUUCUGUGAUAAAGUGAUUUUUCAUCAAAAUUGUCGAUUUUUAAAACAAAAUUAUGUCUGGGAAAAAUUGAAAUCAU